AUUGAACGCUGGCGGCAUGCUUUACACAUGCAAGUCGGACGGCAGCACAGAGAAGCUUGCUUCUUGGGUGGCGAGUGGCGAACGGGUGAGUAACAUAUCGGAACGUACCGAGUAGUGGGGGAUAACUGAUCGAAAGAUCAGCUAAUACCGCAUACGUCUUGAGAGGGAAAGCAGGGGACCUUCGGGCCUUGCGCUAUUCGAGCGGCCGAUAUCUGAUUAGCUAGUUGGUGGGGUAAAGGCCUACCAAGGCGACGAUCAGUAGCGGGUCUGAGAGGAUGAUCCGCCACACUGGGACUGAGACACGGCCCAGACUCCUACGGGAGGCAGCAGUGGGGAAUUUUGGACAAUGGGCGCAAGCCUGAUCCAGCCAUGCCGCGUGUCUGAAGAAGGCCUUCGGGUUGUAAAGGACUUUUGUCAGGGAAGAAAAGGCUGUUGCUAAUAUCAGCGGCUGAUGACGGUACCUGAAGAAUAAGCACCGGCUAACUACGUGCCAGCAGCCGCGGUAAUACGUAGGGUGCGAGCGUUAAUCGGAAUUACUGGGCGUAAAGCGAGCGCAGACGGUUACUUAAGCAGGAUGUGAAAUCCCCGGGCUCAACCUGGGAACUGCGUUCUGAACUGGGUGACUAGAGUGUGUCAGAGGGAGGUAGAAUUCCACGUGUAGCAGUGAAAUGCGUAGAGAUGUGGAGGAAUACCGAUGGCGAAGGCAGCCUCCUGGGGAUAACACUGACGUUCAUGCUCGAAAGCGUGGGUAGCAAACAGG
This 760-nucleotide ribosomal RNA is filed under the name Neisseria cinerea. RNAcentral's name for it is "bacterial SSU rRNA". It matches the Rfam family "Bacterial small subunit ribosomal RNA", at positions 28 to 776 of the family's 1533-position model. Lineage: Bacteria; Pseudomonadati; Pseudomonadota; Betaproteobacteria; Neisseriales; Neisseriaceae. The record is from RNAcentral.